Molecule: small RNA, 16 nt
Filed under: Arabidopsis thaliana (thale cress)
Lineage: Eukaryota; Viridiplantae; Streptophyta; Magnoliopsida; Brassicales; Brassicaceae
Description: ATSL050820
Source: RNAcentral
CAAGAAGAAAUUAAGA